GUGUCAGCCGCCGCGGUAAGACGGAGGGCGCAAGCGUUGUUCGGAAUCACUGGGCGUAAAGCGCGCGCGGGCGGAUGGACAAGUCGGAAGUGAAAGACCGGGGCUCAACUCCGGACCCGCUUUCGAGACUGUUCGUCUAGGGACUGGUAGGGGCGGGUGGAAUUCCCGGUGUAGCGGUGGAAUGCGUAGAGAUCGGGAAGAACACCGGUGGCGAAGGCGGCCCGCUGGGCCAGAUCCGACGCUGAGGCGCGAAAGCGUGGGGAGCAAACAGGAUUAGAUACCCUCGUAGUCC
RNAcentral lists this ribosomal RNA (292 nucleotides) under uncultured bacterium. Its description in RNAcentral is "partial 16S ribosomal RNA". It matches the Rfam family "Bacterial small subunit ribosomal RNA", at positions 505 to 796 of the family's 1533-position model. The record is from RNAcentral.